CUAACUUGAAAAGUAAAGACAGUAAAUGAAUCUGCAAUUUGAAAAACAAGAAACCUAACCCAGUCAAAUCGAAGAACGGCUGGCACCCAUUACUAUUCAACGUUCCUUUAUCACAUCCCAUCCGUUUCUGCCGAUAGCACUUCCCAAGAAAAAUAAGAAAUCAAUUGCUAUCUAUUUUGAACUUACUUUCUUCACCAGAGUUUUUUCAAUCGGGCCAUUGUCUCCAUCGUCCCUCCGAGGCAUUCUCUUAGUCUCUCCAAUCUUCUCCCCUCAGUCCCCCAUAAUGUUGACCCACUGCAUGCCCAUCGAGAUGCCAAGAUUUAAAGCUUCAAGGCAUGCGAAUGCCUCUGCUGCAAAUGGUGUCGACACAUUGUUGUGAAUAGUCGAUUUGGAUACCAGUAGUUCUCCCCUCGAGCUUGGAGCCACCAGACCCGACGCUGACUGAAAACUUGUAUUGUCGAAUGCUGCAUCGAACUGGAUCUAUAAUCUCGCCACAGAGUGAAACAAAAUAGACGACACUGUUUGUUAGAUCCAUUUGCGAACACCCAGUGCAUUGACGAAAUAUAUGCUAACUGUUUUCAACUCCGGAGUGGCAGCGGGGACAUCUGUCAUUUGAAAGGAGUCUUCUGUACCUAAGAUUAGCGAGAUGGGGGAUAAAAUCCCAUGAAAUUCUCCAAAUAAUGAUUGUGAUUUUUGCGGGUAGUCGUAAAUUCCAAAGCUUUCUGUAAAAUUUUUUAAUUUCGGCAUGUAUUAAAUGAUUCCUAGGAUCCAUAGUAGCUUCUUGUAAUAGUUUAUAGGCACUACGUACUGAGUAUUCGCCCGAUUGUUCUCCUUUCCACACCUGAAAAUCCUCAUGUUCUGUCUCUGCAAGCGGAAUUUGUAGGAUUUUUUGAAGCAACAUCUGCUUGAAAGGUUUCUCAAUUCCUGGGAUUCAACUGUCAUUCCAAAUAGAAACCUUAUCCCCUCUACCCACUCUCCAACAAAGUCCAUUUUGAAGAAGACCCUUAGCUGCCCAUAUGCUUCUCCAGUUGAGUGAAGAUUUGAGAAACUGGUGGCAGCAGAACGGUAGGUAACCAGCAACCGUGAGGAUACAAUUUGGCUUUUGAAAGCAGACUACAGAAGAAAACUAAAGAAAGAAAAACAAGAAACACAAAAGACAAACGACUUAAAAAAGCGAACUUAGAAACCCAUGCCAGCGGCGGUAGACAGAAAACUUGCUAGGGAAGCAGACCUAAAUCAUCAUUUAUUAGAUUUUCAUAUUUUAUAGUAUUUAUAAGUUUUUUUAUAAUUUUUAUAAUUUUAUAUAUAUUAUAAUAUUUUUGUUUUUUUAUAUUUUAUAUUUUUAAUUAUUUUUAUGGAAAAAUAUUAUAUUAAAUCAUAAA
Molecule: long non-coding RNA, 1382 nt
Organism: Gossypium arboreum
Lineage: Eukaryota; Viridiplantae; Streptophyta; Magnoliopsida; Malvales; Malvaceae
Exons: 6
Source: RefSeq, a predicted model, not a curated record